UACGAAGGGGGCUAGCGUUGCUCGGAAUCACUGGGCGUAAAGGGCGCGUAGGCGGCCGGCCAAGUCGGGGGUGAAAGCCUGUGGCUCAACCACAGAAUGGCCCUCGAUACUGGACGGUUCGAGACCGGAAGAGGUUGGUGGAAUUCCGAGUGUAGAGGUGAAAUUCGUAGAUAUUCGGAAGAACACCAGUGGCGAAGGCGGCUCACUGGACCGGCAUUGACGCUGAGGUGCGAAAGCGUGGGGAGCAAACAGG
RNAcentral lists this ribosomal RNA (253 nucleotides) under uncultured bacterium. RNAcentral's name for it is "partial 16S ribosomal RNA". It matches the Rfam family "Bacterial small subunit ribosomal RNA", at positions 524 to 776 of the family's 1533-position model. The record is from RNAcentral.